Molecule: long non-coding RNA, 2061 nt
Filed under: Sus scrofa (pig)
Lineage: Eukaryota; Metazoa; Chordata; Mammalia; Artiodactyla; Suidae
Description: lncRNA (ENSSSCG00005018875.1)
Source: RNAcentral
ACCCCAGACCUCGGUUUCUUUGCCCUGUGAACUCCUCAUAAAUUUAUUAUUUCCUCGCCUAAAAAGUGUGAAAGGGAGCUCCCUGGUGGCUCAGUGGGUUGAGGAUCCAGUGCUGUCACUGCUGUGGUGUGGGUUUGAUCCCUGGCUCAGGAACUUCCAUAUGCCCUGGAUGCAGCCAAAAAAAAACAAAAAAAAAAACAAAAACAAAAAAAACAAAAAAAAGAAGAAAAAGAAAAAGAAAAAAGAAAAAAAAAGAAAAUUAAGAUAUCUCGGAGUUCCCUGGUGGCUCAGAGCAUUGAGGACACAGUGUUGUCACUGCUGUGUCUCUGGUUACUGCUGUGGCACAGGAUUGACCCCUGGCCCAGAAACUUCUAUAUGCCACAGGAGUGGCCAGGAAAAAAAUUACAUUAUAUAACUCGCAAUGGAAGGAAUCAUAUUAAAAACAGAGGCAAUACAUUCUCAAAACCGAUCUCAGAAAAGCAGACUGGUAUUUGCUGUGGGGGAGGGAGUGGGAUGGACUGGGAGUUUGGGGUUAAUAGAUACAAACUAUUCUAUUACAUUUAGAAUAGAUAAGCAAUGAGGUCCUGCUAUACAGCACAGGGAACUAUAGCCAAUCACUUGUGAUAGAACAUGAGAGAAGAUAAUAUGAUAAAAAGAAUGUAUAUCUAGGUAUGAUGGGGUCACUUUGCUGUACAGCAGAAAUGGACAGAACAUUGUAAAUCAACUCUAAUAAGAAAAUUAAAAAAAAAAACCUAUCUCAAAAAAAAAGGAGGUGUAAAGUUUAAAUGUUUUCAUUUGCAGCUCCUGGUUCUGUGUGAGGCCUGAGGACUUCCAUAUAUGAGAACUCAGCACAUCCAGAGGCUCUCUGGGGCCACCUGCAGCCAGUUCAUUCUCCUGGAGAGAAAGACCCAAACCUACAGCCUUCGUGCCACAUGCUCUGCUCUGGGAUCUGGUGACACGAAGAUCCAUCACCACCUCCACCUGCAAGGGGCGUCACAGCUCAGCAGGCAGCCCUGGUGCCUCCGGCCCUCCUGCAGGGCUCAGGGAAGACUACAGCCCGAGAGCCCACUGCUCAGUUCGCGCUGGGGAACUGCUCCGAAGAGGUAGGGCAGAGGCCAGUUUAUAUAUGAUUUGGGGCGGCGGGGGGGACUAGGAAAUACAUACAGUCAAGCAUACAUCUUGGUCAAAGAUUACUGCUAAUCACAAAGAACAGACAUCUCAAGUUAAUGACUUUAGGGCUUUUCUGUGGAUGACAAGAGGCCGGAAUCUGGGGUCCCUGGAAUUCUUCCAAGAGAUGCAUCUAACUAACUAUCCAGGGGCCCCGUUACCAAAGCCCAGGUGGCUCUGGUUUUCCAUUAGGAACGCCUUUUAGGGGCACUGUCUGGGGCCACUGCCCGGCCUUGGGACUUAACCCUUGCGGAUCUGGGUGGUGAACGUCUCUUCUUAUUCUUUGUUCACGAACCUAUGAUCAUUUUUGAUCCCUUUCAGCGUCUGUCCCAAUCUUCCUUGCUGAGGCCUGAAUUAUAAAACAAUCCCUUCCUUUUUGAAAUCAGGUUGUCGACCAAGCAGAACUCCUCCGGAGCUAGAAUCAAGGUCAAGAACUACCGCUUGACCUUGUUCAUGCUCUUCCUGGGAAGCCUGCUCCACGGGNNNNNNNNNNNNNNNNNNNNNNNNNNNNNNNNNNNNNNNNNNNNNNNNNNNNNGGGUGCGUGUGAUAAGCAACAGAAAGCGCCAUGAAAACCAAAUCUCAGGUCUCCACGCAGUCAUUAAAAUGACCAUGUCCCAGGGGAAAAUCAAAACAGAACGGACGCUUCUCCAGGUGUGGUCAGCUCCUCCUUUCCCCCUCCCCUCCACCAACCCAGCUGGCAGACUGGGCUUGGAGGGAGUGGAGGAAGGGGGCUGAGAGCUCUUCGCAUUCUUUUUUCAUUUUCCUUUUUGGCCGCCCCACAGCCUAUGGAAUUUCCAGGGCCGGGGUCACAUCUGAGCCACAGGUUUGACCUACACCGCAGCUGCGGCAAUGCUGGAGCCUUUAACCCACUGUGCCAAGCCAGGGAUAGAACC